GUGCUGCUUUUUCCUGUGAGAGGAUUAGGGAAUAGGAGAAUGGCUUUGUGAGGAGAGAGAGAGAGAGGAGAGCUGAGAAGAAACUAAACUAGAAGACUAGCCUUUCAGAGUUCUUUCCAUUGAGGCGAAUUGCAUGUGAUACAGCAGCUGGGGGCUGUUGGUUUUCUUUUCAGCUCCCUACUGUAAGAGAAGCUGGUAAGAUUAUUUUUCCCCUUGUUCUCCUGUUCUGUGAUGCUCUUGUAAUUGCCUUAUUGAAGGGACUCCUUCAGGAGGAAGGGAAGUUGGUUAAUGAUACUGAGGACACGCUGCAUUGUCUUUCCUCCCCCCCCCCCCCAGUAAAGCUACCUAAUAUUUGAAGAGGGACUAUUUACAGUACAGAGGGGGCAGUUUUUGGUAGGAAAAGUUGUUUUUCUCCUUUUUGCUAAAGGACUCUUAGUAUAAAACUGGGGGGGGCGGGGAGCAGGGGGGGAGGGAGAAUAUUUAUCAAGUCGUACCAAACUGUUCGGAUAUAUUUAAAGUUUUCAGAAGUAUUUUGGGUGAGGGGGAGCCAUUUCACCCGUUUGCAGCAUUCUUGAUGUUAUCAGCUUUGUCACUUUCCUGGACUAAUUCCAGAUCUCCUGGGGUGUGUGUGAGAAACAUAUAUUAGAACCCUAUUUUUCACAGGCUCCACAAAGACAACAGGGACUGCUUGUCUUAGCAACAAAAGCUAAGCAAGCAACUCCUUCUGGAAGGUGAAAAGGAAGGAAUACCUUCUGAAGAGGUAGGGAGAAGCAAAGUGAAAUUAAUCUAAGAACAAGGAAUGAACGCAGUGAUGUUUGGCUACAUCUGAAUGAAGCAGCACGGCUCAGUAUAUACCUCAAAUGCUAUUUGAGUUAACUAUGAUUUUUCUAGGUUUUUUUAUGGAAUAUAUGCCACAGUGGCAAUUUGUAUUUUGUUUGAGUCUCUUGCUUCAUUUCAUAUAUGUGUGGGAACUGUUAAGUUUUAAAUUCCUUGACAAAGCAGAGAUAUAUAAACUUGGCUUGAGGGCAAUUUCAAGGAAAAGUUGAAAAAGUCUUGUGCCUGUCAUGGAUAGCAUAGAUGUAAUUACAAACAAAAGCUUUCUUUUUGGUCAAGUAAGAAAUCACAAAUUAAGAAAGUAAGGAAUGAUUGGCAAUAAUUAAAGUGAUGAUUGACAUGUUUUUUCUAGCACUCUUCCUUCCUUCCUUCCUUCCUUCCUUCCUUCCUUCCUUCCUGGCGAUUAAAUUCUUACUCUUUUAUUCAGCAUUCCUAUCUGAAGUAACACUUUAUAUUUAUUACUGUGGAAAAAGACAUGCUCUUUCUCUUCUUCUGCAUCCCACCUUCCCAAAACACUUCAAAGAAGCGACUGUGUUAUAUUAUUUACAUUAUUAUCUUCAGCUUUUUCUGACUUAGAUCUCAUUCAAACCAUCAACUGUUAGGGGAAAAGUCUGCAGGCCAUAGUCAUGCAUAAGUGGUAUAGGAAGCAGGUCAUUACUAUGGGUGGUUUGUAGCUUGGAAAGAGGGUGCUAAUUUUAGGAAAUGGGGUUGUCAUGGAGCCCUAAAGAGUGGUGGCGGGUGGGGUGGAGUGUAUCUGCAUGAACAUUAGUGUUGCUGAGUCAUGUGAUUUCAUUAUCUCAAAGACAAGACCCACUGUAAACGAUUUUUACAUUUAGCCCUUCCUCCACCUCCUCCCUCCAUUCUUUCCUCUCACACAGACACUGGUUGCUAGGGUAAUAGGGUUUUUAAAAAAUUCUGUCACAUAAUACCACAGUGGUGUUAGUGGCUACUUAUUGAGUUGCUUCAUGCAAUGCCUGAGCAGUCUCAACAGGGGGAUCAUUGUGCUUAAUGUUCAUUUAGAUGUGUCACUAGUUCAAAUUAGUUUUCUGAAAUAUAGAUAUCACUAGUAUACAUCCAGUUUUGCCAACUCUUUAACCAGCAGCUUCUUUUUUUAGAAACACACCCACCAAAUGGCCAUUUCAGGUUUUAUAUAGAUUACUGCGUACUUUAACUCUGUGUAUUCUGUGUUUCAAUUCCACACUUUUCAAAGUAAGAAUUUAUUCAUUAACAUGUAUAUGCAGAAUGACACCUACACAACUACACACCUGUUGAGAGCAGCUAUGGAAAUUGGCUGCUUUUUCCAUUUUACUUAGUUCAUAAAUGCCAGGCUGCACAUCCUAUUUUACUAAAGUGCUCUGCUGUGCCCCAAUUGGUUGUCAGCUGAUGGUAUUAAUUUAUUUUCAUUGAGGCAUAAAACUCUCAAAUCUGAUUUGUGAAGGAAAAUGGCAGAUCUUUGAAUCCAAAUUAGCAACAAUCUCUACUGUGGUGUUGGUUUAUCCUAACAAUUUAAGGAAAAUAAAAAGCACAUGCUUUGCAAUCAAUGGAGAAUUUGUGAUCACCCUUGGAGGGAGUUAGGAUUUAACAGUCUAUAAGAAGAUUUGAAUACAGCAGUGUUUGCUCUGUAGUCCUCUUCAGAUAAAUAACUAGGGAACACUAUACACAACCUAUAUGCAUAUGGCAACAUCCUUGCACAACAAAACUUCUGGUUUCUCUUCUCUGUCCUCCAGCCUUCCAUGCCCCUCCCCCCAUAUCUGCUCUGUGGGGGGGUCUCUAGAUUUUAUGGGAAUGGAGGAGAGGUGGAGAUGCCACACAGCACAAACAGACACCUGCUCAUGCGAUACUGGAUCUCACCCUUAUGUUCUCCAUUUUUUGCUCUGUGGAGUUCUUCAGCUGAAUGAAUCAAAGUUGAUGGUUGAACCCUAGAGCAGCUGGGGGUGGUGCUAGGGGCUACAAGGAAGAUGAGAGAAAGGGAAGAGCCUUUGAUGUUGUCCAAUAAUAAUUAGCCAAUUGGAGUAUCACUGUCAGGAACCAGUCAGGGGCAGGUUAGCAGUAAAAUUUAGUGAGGUUAACUCUUUAUUAAGAGGAACCAAAACAGUGCAGACCUAGUGAUCCCACCAACUCUACUCAGUAGGUCUUGCCCCAAUGAGACAGUUGCAAGGACUGAAGGUCCCCACCUUCCCACUUCUCCUGGUUUCUUCGCCAGCUGCCUAAGGCUCCUUCGCCUGGCCUCUUUGUUCCGCCCUCUUCAUUUCUCUGCAUGUUCUGGGAGACCAGGGGGAGAGGAGCUUGUCACAAGAGGAGGGAGAGCUUCCCUGGCUUCUUCAGCAACCUGCCUUCACUCUGCCUCUUGACCACCCUCUGCUGCUGCUUCUGAUUUUGGACUGUUGUCUGCCACAGUCUCUUCCUGCUCACUUAACCCUGUUACCUCUUCCAUUUCUGACACCUCCCUCUUCCAGUUUGCUCCUUCUCCCUUUGACCACUCAUCAUCAUCACCCCACCACCAAUCCCCCUGCUUCUGAGCCUUCUUCCUUUGGGGGUUCUCCAGCUGGUGCCUCCCAUCAUUCCUCUGCAUUCAGCCAGUCCAUGGCAAUCUCAUAAUGUCAAUACUUGUAGAAGGUUGGUUGAGGAUACCAGAAACUGGGAACUUUGCAGAUCAGACUUUCAGAUAACUGGAAGCUCUGCCAGAAGUUCUCUUUAAUUCUGCACUUUUCAAAUGCUGCUGCUUUUUAUUAUGUUUUAAAAAUACUGCAUAUGAUUAUAACCAGAAAAAUAUGAUCUAUUCAACAUUUUUAUUCAAAAUGAAAGUUGAAUGAAGUUGGGUUUACCUUUUCAGAUGAAUGGUGGGAAGUGAAUGAGUAAGUAGUUUGCUUACAAAUGUUUUGUCUUCUGAGUGAUGUAAAAUGGGAAAACUUGAACAGCAAUGCAUCUCAUCAGACAUAACCCAGUAGUGUAGGUGGGAAACACUAAGAUUGAGUUCAGUUUAAAAUCGGAUGAGUUCAACUCAUAUAUGCAUAUAAACACUAUUUUUGUGUAUGCAGCCUGAAUCGCAACUCUGACAGAUCUUAAACAAGCACUAACAAGAACCACAAAAAUAUAUUUAUUAUAGGGAUUAAUAUAAAGUAUGUACAAAAUCAGGUGAAUAUAAAGAUAGGAGGGUAGCAUUGGAAUCACCUUUGCCAAAUUAACCCCCUAUUUAAACAGAGCUGGUCAUUCGGUCUUGCAAACACUAGGUCUUGUGAAACCCUGUGCACAGGGCACUACAACAACUUGACAGUCAGCUGAUCAUCAGAGCUUCAUGGGCAAAAACUGGUGAUCUGACAUCAUUGUGAAGUCAAGUGAUUGGCGGGUAGGCAGCUUCAUCCACCUUUCAGACUUGGUCCACUGGGGGAGGGAUAGGUACGCCCACACAUGUACACAAAUAUGUGAGCAUCUUGGAUUGUUCUAUGUUUUACUACCAUGUGCAGAAGUUGAAGAAUAGUCCUAAAAGCAUGUUUAAAAAGUUAACUAUAGACAUUGCCCUAUCAUUAAGCAGAGUAAGGCAGCUGCCUCAGGCGACCAAUGCCUGGGAGUGGCAGCAAGGGCCUGGAGUACAAAGCUAUGGGUGCCUUGUCCCCUGUCCUGCGUCUCCUGAGCCCCCUGGGAAUGGGGGACAUAAUGACCUGGCUUCAGCUGUGGUGGAGCCCAUGCUGAAGUAAUCAUCUCCUUAUGUAGAAUGUAGGGUGCCAUCUUAUCCUACACCCCAGGCAGCCAAAUGUCAUCAGCUGACCCCAACUACAAGGGUAGUUUUUAAAGGGGCUCACUCACCACUGUCCUUAAAUUAGACUGCUUAGGUUUUUAGUCAACUGCUACUUUCUUGCACAGCUGGGAAGAGUGAUUUCCUUUCAUCUCUAAUUGACUGUGAAAGAGGAAGCUUUUUCUUUUUGUUGUAUUCCCUCUCUUUGCUUCCUCAUCUCUUUGAUCUAAUGCAUAUCUCUUUGUGAAAUGCACAAGACUUUAAACAAUUGAGGUGUCCUCCUGCCCUCUGCUACCUUACUGGUCCUUAUGGCUACUGCUUGUAGACAUAGCCUUUCUAUUUCUGCUUCUGUGACCCAAGAGGAUAGAAGCACCCAAGAACUAAUUUAUACUAGAUUAUGGACCAACACUAUAAAUUCCCAGUUCGGGCCUCAAGUGAAACAAGUUACAAACCAUGCAACUGAAUUUAAAUAAAGCAAACAUGGAUUACAUCAGUUACUAAGCAAUUGUUUAUAGUUUAUAGGAAGAUUGUUUAUAGUUCAGUUUGCUUGCUUUUUGCUCCAUUGUGAUAAGUAAUCAGGGUGCCUUUGGUUGAAAGUGAAUUUAAGGAUGCAGAGUAGUACCUUAUGGAAUCGUUUCACAAGUUGUGUUAUCUCAGAAGCCACUUUUCACUUUUGUGACCUGCUGCGAUCCCUGCACUAGGCAAGCCCAUUCAUGCUCUCAGUCCUGCAGAGAGAAGUGCCAGAGACUAGCAGUGAUUAUUCUCUGCAACCUUUCCCCAGGUAUACAAGUCAAUGGCACUUUGGGAGAGAUAAAAUAUGCUUUUCUUCCAGUCUGAUUAAAGCAGAGAAAGAUAUGUCUUUGCAUACAGGAUAUUUUCUGCUUCUCUCAAUUAUUUUGAGGCUCCGAAGCACUGGCAGUAGAAUUCAUUCGGAGUUGCAUGUUAAAAGUAUAUUCAACUCUUAUUACUAUUUUAUAGCAGAUGCAGUUGAAUUUUGACAUUUUUCUCACGCUGCUUGUUAAAGGCUGAUUCCUUUUAGAAUGCUAGGAAGGCAGUUGGUAUUGGCAGCUAAACACAAGAAACACCCUGUAAUGCCUACAAAAACACAGCCUCUGAGACAGCCAAUGGCAAGCCUCCAUUUCUAUCAUUCUUGUCUAGGCAUUCUCAGAAAUCUGCUCAGUAUUGCUGUGACCUCAGUAAGUGGAACAAUUUGUGAUUUACAAUGGAUUAAGUGAGAUCAGAGUUAAUGCCUGUUGUGUUCUCUGAUUUCAUAUCCCAUUUAGAAGGCAAUUUAUCUGCUCCUGUACUGGAGAUGGGAGACUGAACACACAUCAAAUAGCUACUACUAAGUAGCUUUCGUGACCUACAUGCCCAGUGUAUAGGGUUGGGGUUUUCAGGCAGCAUUAGUUAGUGAAACCUUUUCCAGAAAAAUGGUUGGAAAUGUACUAUUGAUUCACACCAGUCUCAGCAGACCAAAGCCAGUAGUGGAUACAUUUUGAAAAUCUGAAUGUUCACAUUGCCCCAGAUAGAAACAAGAGGGUAUAAAUUGUCUUUGGUAAAUUGUAAACAUGUUUCUAAUAAAUUGUGCAUUGUGGGUUGGUAGAAAGGUUUUCCAUUAGAAAUAGACCACAGGGAACCUGCUUUAGGCCAGUUCAAUUUGCAAUAUAUUCAGUAAAGUUUGCAACAUGCCUUUUUUUCUUGAGUCCUGUUUCUUUAUUUCAGGGAAUCAUAUGCACGUCAAACCUACUAAUUCCUUUACUUCAAAACAAUGCAGUCUCUGUUGCGUUCUAGCAAUCAAUGGAUAUCGACAAUAUCCCCUAUUUUAUUUUAUUUUUCAAAUCUUGCUUUGAUUAAUCCUAGUGACAUUUGUAAGAUUAAGAAUGGUGUUUCAAGCUGAAGAUAAUUUGCUUAUAGUCAAGAAUCAGUGAGUGCAUCUUCCAUUCAUAAGACUUUCCUACAGAUAUAUAUUAUUAAGAGAUGAUUGGGGAAAAUAAUUGUAUUACAGGUAUAAAAUAGUUAUAGGAAUCUACCUCCUGCUAUGUGUUCUGAAGUAUUUAGUAAUCUUUAUUGCACCAAUGAACUUGGGACCAAUGUGCAUUGCCAAUUUUGAUAUUGUACAUUUGGUAUAAUAUUUGUUAUUUGUUGUGAUUAUGAUGUUUGAAAAUCAUGCAGGAUUUUGUACUACUUCCUUUACCUUUUGUGCUUCAUUUAUACAUUCAUCCAGAUUGCUAUGUAUUUUUGCGACAAAACAUGACAUCACACUACAGAGACUAAAUGCUAUAUUGCUGUUUCAUCACUAAAUUUGUAAAGUCCCAACAAGAUCCGUAGAACUAAAAUACAGAAAGUUUAUACUGAAGAUGCUGUCAUUGGGAUAAUGCUGACAAAUAUAUUAAGCUGAGAUAAGGCAAUUGUAGCUUCUGGUCCUCAGCUGUGUGCUGUUUGCCUUACUUAGUGUCUUGAGUCCACUGAAUCAUGGCUAUGAACCAAACUGCUUAUAAUGUGUGUCUGCACGUGCAAAUUUAUGUCUCUUUUCCACAACAUGCUUCUCUCCACCCUCAAGUCCAGGGGUCAGCAGACUUUUUCAGCAGGGGGCCAGUUCACUAUCCCUCAGACCUUGUGGGGGGCCAGACUAUAUUUGGGGGGGGGGGAAUGAACGAAUCUAUAUACCCCACAAAUAACCCAGAGAUGCAUUUUAAAUAAAAGGGCACAUUCUACUCAUGUAAAAACAUGCUGAUUCCUGGAUCGUCCACAGGCCGGAUUUAGAAGGCGAUUGGGCCGGAUUCGGCCCCCAGGCCUUAGUUUGCCUACCCAUGCUCAAGCCUAUCUCAUGAUUUUUUAAAAAAGCAAAAACAUCUAUUUUCACAUGGACACUUCUUAUUCUAAAUGCAGCCAUUGUUUGUUAUGUCUAGCCAGUAAUUAGACCUCAGAUGGUGAGGCAAUUUCAGAACAUGGUUUACCAAUUUACAUGCUAAUCCAGCAGACUGUGGUGGAGCCAUGAUUAGUGCAGACUCCAUCAACAUCUUAAUUAGCCCUGGUCCCAGCAUGGAGCAGUGGUGGCUAUCUUUGUAGGUCUGAGAAUGUUUGCUUUUUUUAGGACAAAUGCAUGUUUCCCCAAAGCCUGCCCCCCGCCCCCGCGCGCUAAUUGCUGUUUAAAGGAAGAAACCCAGUUCCUGAGAGAGGCUGGAAAUGCCUAAAACAACGAACCAGCAGCCUAUUCAGGGGAGGUUCCCAUUCUGCAGCUUAUAUUAGAGAGUGGCCAAAGUAAAAAAAUCAAAUACUAGUAAGGCAACUGAACUGAUUUUAGAUCGUCUUAAAGUAUGGCAUAUGUUGAGGGGAAAGUGUAACAACUUUUUGACACAAUAUGGACGGCUGACAAAAAGAAGGGGGAUUGCUAAUUGUAUAUAGAUAUUUAGAUGCACACACAUACAUGCAUAUAUACACAUUGUAUGUAUAUAACUGUAACUGUUAUAUCAGUUAAUUUGGAUACCUUAGACUAGACCAAUGACAACAGGGUUUUUUUAAAAUAGAGGUAACUGGUUUAAAUACUCAUUUUUAAUGUCUAGUCCAGGAGGGCUGCAGAAUUACUCAUGAGUACUUGUGAAUUAUAACUAACCAUAUAGCAAAACUUAAGCAGGAAAUAAAAAUUAUUGUUUGCAUAUGUGGGGUAAAUAACUUAAACAUUUAACUCUGUAAAAGCUUCAGACAUGCUGAAGAACAUAGCAGAUCAGGUACACUAAACAAGGACAAGUAUAAUAGCCUAGGUAGGUAUCAUGUUGUUGUACAAGGAAUCCUAUAAUGUGUUUCCCACCUGCAUAUGCUCUGUGCUAAGCCACAAAUACUUGGUGGUUUUGAAUGAUUUAAAAUAUUUUCCUUUAGCAUCUAGUAGACCAUAUAAAUUUACAUCUGCAAUGGAAGUGUUAAUCUGGUGCCUAGACUACAUACAUAAGAGUUUCCUUGCCAAAUCU
Podarcis lilfordi (Lilford's wall lizard) is the source of this 8532-nucleotide non-coding RNA. Lineage: Eukaryota; Metazoa; Chordata; Lepidosauria; Squamata; Lacertidae. The record is from the annotation of a GenBank genome assembly.